AUUCAGUAUCAUUAAUAUGAGUUCAUUUAAAGCCCGAAUUGACUCUGUGUAACUUUGGUUCAAAUUCCAUUUAAAUAUGUUUUUUUUUUUGUUAUCUCUCGUGUAUUUGCUCUCAUGGAUUUGUACAAGAUGAUUUUAAGAUUAAGAUGGUUAUGAUAGCUUUCCAGACUCAUUGCUAUUCAGUUAUAUUUGUCCAAUAUGUUAUUUUUCUGGGUUAAUGUGUGAAGCAUUUACAUCUCAUAGUUUAUUUGUUCCAAGUUUAUCAGGUGCGGUUAAAGAAUCAGUCAAUGCUCAAACCUCAAAACACACACAUCGAUCAUUUGAGAACACACUAAACGUGGGAAACAUCUGCGAAAAAUGAUCAUAAAUCUUGCUUGGAAACAGGAAAAGAUGGCAAUGAAGGAUGUUCUAUUCGCGAUGAAGAUAAAGAGAAAACUGUGUUGUUUGUACACAUAUUGUAUUUUGUGUUGCUUGCAUACGAAGUGACGUUCUAGAUGGGAUGGAGUAGUGACGGUUUCUUCAUUCGGGAUGUAGAAAGUGAGGAAACUAUAGUAAUUUGUAUUUGGAUAUUUUGUAUAAUUUUGUAAUAUUUUAUGGCAUUAUAUUUCAUAAUUUUUCUUA
This is a long non-coding RNA of Helianthus annuus (common sunflower), 621 nucleotides long. RefSeq lists it as uncharacterized. The record is from RefSeq and is a predicted model, not a curated record. The transcript has 2 exons. NCBI's taxonomy places the organism in Eukaryota, Viridiplantae, Streptophyta, Magnoliopsida, Asterales, Asteraceae.